GGGGAUGAAAAGGCUCGAUGGAAAUAGCCUUUAUGGUGAGCAGAUCAAGUUUGUUAGAAUCUUGCAAAAACUAACAAAACAAAAUAAGUGCUAACUUAUUUAAGAAACCUGCUUUGGCUUACGCUUAAGGCAGCAUCCUAUUCAUUGAUUCUCGAUAAAUGAAAUCCGGGUGUCAUAUUUUCGAGAUAGAUAGUUGUCUUGCCUCAAGCAAUUAUUAAAACUUAGAGGCUAUGGACAUUAAAAAUUUUGUCUAUUUUUAAUCUAAUGUUCUGAAAAAUUAAAAUAGAAUAUAUCUGUAGAAUCAUUUUAAAGAAUCCUUUCCAGACGGGGGCUCAUUACCUCCCAUCUCCACCA
Molecule: transfer-messenger RNA, 354 nt
Filed under: bacterium
Lineage: Bacteria
Rfam family: transfer-messenger RNA
About the family: Bacterial tmRNA, also known as 10Sa RNA or SsrA, is named for its dual tRNA and mRNA-like properties. Its role is to liberate the mRNA from a stalled ribosome.
Source: RNAcentral